AGAGUUUGAUCAUGGCUCAGAACGAACGCUGGCGGCGUGGCUUAGGCAUGCAAGUCGAGCGCGAAAGGGGGGUAAAACUCCCGAGUAGAGCGGCGCAAGGGUGAGUAAUGCUUGGGCAACCUGCACCUCGGACCGGGAUAGCCGCUGGAAACGGCGGGUAAUACCGGAUGGCCUCGCAGCGACCGCGGUCGCAGCGAGUAAAGGUGGGGAUCCCUCGGGACCUGCCACCGGGGAAGGGGCUCAAGUCCUAUCAGCUAGUUGGUGCGGUAACGGCGCACCAAGGCGAAGACGGGUAGCCGGGCUGAGAGGUUGGCCGGCCACACUGGCACUGAGACACUGGCCAGACUCCUACGGGAGGCUGCAGUCGAGAAUCUUCCGCAAUGGGCGAAAGCCUGACGGAGCGACGCCGCGUGGAGGAAGAAGGCCUUCGGGUUGUAAACUCCUGUCAGGGUUUAAGAAAUCGGUCGUGGUCAGUAACCAUGGCCGCUGACGAAGGACCCAAAGGAAGCCACAGCUAACUACGUGCCAGCAGCUGCGGUAAUACGUAGGUGGCAAGCGUUGUUCGGAUUCACUGGGCAUAAAGGGCGUGUAGGCGGUUCGGUCAGCGGCGUGUGAAAGCCCGGAGCUCAACUCCGGAACUGCACGCCGGACUUCCGAGCUAGAGGACAGGAGGGGGGUGCGGAACUCUAGGUGUAGCGGUGAAAUGCGUAGAUAUCUAGAGGAACGCCGGUGGCGAAAGCGACACCCUGGCCUGUAUCUGACGCUGAGGCGCGAAAGCGUGGGUAGCAAACAGGAUUAGAUACCCUGGUAGUCCACGCCGUAAACGAUGAGCACUAGGUAGCCGGCGGAACCGACCGCUGGCUGCUGACGGUAAUCCAUUAAGUGCUCCGCCUGGGGAGUACGGUCGCAAGGCUGAAACUCAAAUGAAUUGACGG
This 935-nucleotide ribosomal RNA is filed under the name uncultured bacterium. Its description in RNAcentral is "bacterial SSU rRNA". It matches the Rfam family "Bacterial small subunit ribosomal RNA", at positions 8 to 916 of the family's 1533-position model. The record is from RNAcentral.